UACGUAGGGUGCAAGCGUUAAUCGGAAUUACUGGGCGUAAAGCGUGCGCAGGCGGUGAUGUAAGACCGAUGUGAAAUCCCCGGGCUUAACCUGGGAACUGCAUUGGUGACUGCAUUGCUAGAGUAUGGCAGAGGGGGGUGGAAUUCCACGUGUAGCAGUGAAAUGCGUAGAGAUGUGGAGGAACACCGAUGGCGAAGGCAGCUCGCUGGGACGUUACUGACGCUGAGACGCGAAAGCGUGGGGAGCAAACAGG
RNAcentral lists this ribosomal RNA (253 nucleotides) under uncultured bacterium. RNAcentral describes it as "partial 16S ribosomal RNA". It matches the Rfam family "Bacterial small subunit ribosomal RNA", at positions 524 to 776 of the family's 1533-position model. The record is from RNAcentral.